UGAAGAGCUUGCUCUUCAAAUCGAGUGGCGAACGGGUGAGUAACGCGUGAGGAACCUGCCUCAAAGAGGGGGACAACAGUUGGAAACGACUGCUAAUACCGCAUGACACAUUGGGGUCGCAUGGCCCUGAUGUCAAAGAUUUAUCGCUGAAAGAUGGCCUCGCGUCUGAUUAGCUGGUUGGUGAGGUAACGGCCCACCAAGGCGACGAUCGGUAGCCGGACUGAGAGGUUGAACGGCCACAUUGGGACUGAGACACGGCCCAGACUCC
RNAcentral lists this ribosomal RNA (268 nucleotides) under uncultured Oscillospiraceae bacterium. RNAcentral describes it as "partial 16S ribosomal RNA". It matches the Rfam family "Bacterial small subunit ribosomal RNA", at positions 72 to 339 of the family's 1533-position model. Lineage: Bacteria; Bacillati; Bacillota; Clostridia; Eubacteriales; Oscillospiraceae. The record is from RNAcentral.